This 463-nucleotide ribosomal RNA is filed under the name uncultured bacterium. RNAcentral describes it as "bacterial SSU rRNA". It matches the Rfam family "Bacterial small subunit ribosomal RNA", at positions 331 to 792 of the family's 1533-position model. The record is from RNAcentral.
CCAGACUCCUACGGGAGGCAGCAGUGAGGAAUAUUGGUCAAUGGGCGGGAGCCUGAACCAGCCAAGUCGCGUGAGGGAAGACGGUCCUACGGAUUGUAAACCUCUUUUGUCGGGGAGCAACGAGGCCACGUGUGGCCGAAGUGAGAGUACCCGAAGAAAAAGCAUCGGCUAACUCCGUGCCAGCAGCCGCGGUAAUACGGAGGAUGCGAGCGUUAUCCGGAUUUAUUGGGUUUAAAGGGUGCGUAGGCGGAACAUUAAGUCAGCGGUAAAAUCGAGGGGCUCAACCCCUUUAAGCCGUUGAAACUGGUGAUCUUGAGUGGGCGAGAAGUAUGCGGAAUGCGUGGUGUAGCGGUGAAAUGCAUAGAUAUCACGCAGAACUCCGAUUGCGAAGGCAGCAUACCGGCGCCCGACUGACGCUGAGGCACGAAAGCGUGGGUAUCGAACAGGAUUAGAUACCCGCGUA